UCCCUAGUGUCCCAGUUGGUAAAGAAUCUGCCUGCAAUGCAGGAGACCUGGGUUCAAUUCCCAGUGGGGAA
This 71-nucleotide transfer RNA is filed under the name Bos taurus (domestic cattle). It matches the Rfam family "tRNA". Rfam says of the family: Transfer RNA (tRNA) molecules are approximately 80 nucleotides in length. Their secondary structure includes four short double-helical elements and three loops (D, anti-codon, and T loops). The record is from Rfam by way of RNAcentral. Lineage: Eukaryota; Metazoa; Chordata; Mammalia; Artiodactyla; Bovidae.